CAACUAAAACCUGUUUUCUGUGUAUGCUUUCCCCCUAGAUGGCGUUUCUUCUCUUCCUUAUUGCCCACUGAUACAUCUUGACUGAGGAGGCAUGAGACAUGUCAUUUCUCCUUGACCAUUCGGAAGGGUUAGAGAAGACAUCACCAGGAACUGGAUGGUCCCCAAUGCCAGCCUUUUAUGAAGCCUAAAUACUCUGCUCUUUCAUCAGCAAAUUAGACCCCUGGAACCCCUAGUGAAAAGAUGACAAACCUCAAAUGUUGUGACCAGUAG
RNAcentral lists this long non-coding RNA (270 nucleotides) under Salvator merianae (Argentine black and white tegu). RNAcentral describes it as "lncRNA (ENSSMRG00000022706.1)". Lineage: Eukaryota; Metazoa; Chordata; Lepidosauria; Squamata; Teiidae. The record is from RNAcentral.